RNAcentral lists this ribosomal RNA (2845 nucleotides) under human gut metagenome. RNAcentral's name for it is "bacterial LSU rRNA". It matches the Rfam family "Bacterial large subunit ribosomal RNA", at positions 1 to 2427 of the family's 2925-position model. The record is from RNAcentral.
UCAAGCUAAUAAGAGCGCAGGGUGGAUGCCUUGGCACUAAGAGCCGAUGAAAGACGUGAUAAGCUGCGAAAAGCUUCGGGGAGGAGCAAAUAUCCAUUGAUCCGGAGAUAUCUGAAUGGGGAAACCCGGCUGAGAAGCCCUCAGCCACUGUAUGGUGAAUCCAUAGCCAUACAGAGGGAACCCGGUGAACUGAAACAUCUAAGUAGCCGGAGGAAGAGAAAGAAACAUCGAUUCCGGAAGUAGCGGCGAGCGAACCCGGAAGAGCCCAAACCAGCGUGCGUGCAUGCUGGGGUUAAGGACUGCAUAAGUGAGCUGAUUCGUUAGUGGAACUGCCUGGGAAGGCGGGCCGGAGAGGGUGAAAGCCCCGUACAUGAAAACGAUAGGCAGCGGCAGGAUCCAGAGUACCGCGAGACACGAGAAACCUUGCGGGAAGUCGGAGGGACCACCCUCCAAGGCUAAAUACUCCUUAGUGACCGAUAGCGCAUAGUACUGUGAAGGAAAGGUGAAAAGGACCCCGGGAGGGGAGUGAAAGAGAACCUGAAACCCUGUGUUUACAAGCUGUCGGAGCACUUUAAAUGUGCGACGGCGUACUUUUUGUAGAACGGUCCGGCGAGUUAUGGCAUGUGGUAAGGUUAAGUACUUCAGGUACGGAGCCGAAGCGAAAGCGAGUGUGAACAGCACGUAAGAAUCACCUGCCAUAGACCCGAAACCGGGUGAUCUAUCCAUGUCCAGGAUGAAGCUGCCGUAAGAGGUAGUGGAGGUCCGAACACACAUCCGUUGAAAAGGGUGGUGAUGAGGUGUGGAUAGGGGAGAAAUUCCAAUCGAACCCGGAGAUAGCUGGUUCUCCUCGAAAUAGCUUUAGGGCUAGCCCCGUAUUAGUUUAGCGGAGGUAGAGCACUGAAUUCCUAAGGGGGCGUCAAAGCUUACCAAGGGAUAUCAAACUCCGAAUGCCGCAUAAAUGAUGUACGGGAGUCAGACUGCACGAGAUAAGUUGGGCAGUCAAAAGGGAAAGAGCCCAGACCUACAGCUAAGGUCCCAAAGUGUGUGUUAAGUGGAAAAGGAUGUGGGAUUUCAGAGACAACUAGGAUGUUGGCUUAGAAGCAGCCACACAUUCAAAGAGUGCGUAAUAGCUCACUAGUCGAGAGGUCCUGCGCCGAAAAUGUCCGGGGCUGAAACACAACACCGAAGCUCAGGAAUGUAUUUAUACAUUGGUAGAGGAGCAUUCUUAAAGGGACGAAGCAGUACCGAUAAGGAGCUGUGGACUUUUAAGAAGAGAGAAUGCCGGAAUGAGUAGCGAGAUGGAGGUGGGAAUCCUCCAGGCCGAAUAUCCAAGGUUUCCAGAGUAAAGCUGAUCUGCUCUGGGUAAGUCGGGGCCUAAGGUAAGGCUGAGAAGCGUAGCCGAUGGACAACAGGUUGAGAUUCCUGUACCGCGUAUCAUCAGAACUGUGGGGACACAGAAGGACAGCACAGCCCGGGAAUGGAAAGACCGGGGCAAGCAGGGUAGGAGUCAAGCUGGCAAAUCCGCUUGACGAUCCGAAGCUGUGAUGCGGAGCGAAUUUAAGUAGUGAAGUGUGUGAUUCCGGCUGUCAAGAAAAGCCGCUAUCGUGUGAUACGUGCCCGUACCGUAAACCGACACAGGUAGAUGAGGAGAGAAUCCUAAGGCCGGCGGGAGAAGCAUUGUUAAGGAACUCGGCAAAAUGACCCUGUAACUUCGGGAGAAAGGGUGCCUGGGAAACCAGGCCGCAGAGAAUAGGCUCAAGCAACUGUUUAGCAAAAACACAGGUCUAUGCAAAACCGUAAGGUGAGGUAUAUGGGCUGACGCCUGCCCGGUGCUGGAAGGUUAAGAGGAGGGGUUAGCGCAAGCGAAGCUCUGAAUUGAAGCCCCAGUAAACGGCGGCCGUAACUAUAACGGUCCUAAGGUAGCGAAAUUCCUUGUCGGGUAAGUUCCGACCCGCACGAAAGGCGUAAUGAUUUGAGCACUGUCUCGACAAUACAUCCGGUGAAAUUGAAGUACCAGUGAAGAUGCUGGUUACCCGCGCCAGGACGGAAAGACCCCAUGGAGCUUUACUCCAGUUUGGUACUGGGGUCCGGCAGUGCAUGUACAGGAUAGGUGGGAGGCCUGAUGCUUCUUAGAAAGCACUGCUAAAGGAGAAUCAACACCCAUGGCUGAUACUGCUUCUGCUCCAUUUAAUGCCAUUGGAAGGAUCAUGGUGCGGUACUGUUCGUAAGUAUAACCAUAGGUCUUCUGUAAACGGAGGCGCUGUUCUUUGGCAAGUACAGGAGCAGCCUGGUUUGGCACUUUCAGAUCUUCUAACUCUACCAGAUUGGAAUCCAGCCAUUCACCAUAUGGAUUCUUUUCUGCAUAUCGCAGCUUCAGCUCUUCAUCGCUGAUCAUCUUGCCUUCUACUGUAUCUACCAGCAGCAUUUUUCCCGGACGGAGACGAUCUUUUUUCACGAUCUUCGUCUGGUCGAUAUCAAUAGCACCAACCUCAGAAGAAAGGAUCAUAUAACCAUCAUCUGUAAUAUAAUAACGGGAAGGACGCAGGCCAUUCCGGUCAAGGACUGCGCCAACCAUAUCACCAUCUGUAAACAGUAUAGAUGCAGGCCCGUCCCAUGGCUCCAUCAUCGUUGCAUAAUAACGGUAGAAGUCCUUGAUCUCUGAAUCCAUGUAUUUAUCAUGUUCCCAUGGAGCAGGGAUCGUUACCAUAACAGCAAGAGGCAGAUCCAUACCACUCAUGACCAUAAAUUCCAGAGCAUUGUCCAGCAUGGCGGAGUCAGAGCCUUCCUGAUUAAUAAUAGGAAGGACUUUAUGCAUAUCGUACUUGAAAUACUCUGAUUCCAUGUU